AUGAUGCCGACGUCGGGCAACGACGCCGGCGCCUGCGACGGCGACGGCUCGCCGCACGGGGUCAAGAAGAUGUGGACCAAGGAGGAGGACGACCUGCUGCGGGAGCAGGUGCGGCGCUGCGGCGGCCCGCACAACUGGGACUCCAUGUGUCGAGGCCUGCCCGGCCGCAACUCCAAGUCGUGCUGCCUCCGCUGGUGCCAGCACCUCGACCCCAGGGUGGAGGCCGUCAAGCCCUUCACCAUCGAGGAGGACAUGCUCAUCGUCAAGUACCAGGCCACCUACGGCAACCGCUAG
This 294-nucleotide ribosomal RNA is filed under the name Triticum aestivum (bread wheat). Its description in RNAcentral is "partial small subunit ribosomal RNA". The record is from RNAcentral. Lineage: Eukaryota; Viridiplantae; Streptophyta; Magnoliopsida; Poales; Poaceae.